This 253-nucleotide ribosomal RNA is filed under the name uncultured bacterium. RNAcentral describes it as "partial 16S ribosomal RNA". It matches the Rfam family "Bacterial small subunit ribosomal RNA", at positions 524 to 776 of the family's 1533-position model. The record is from RNAcentral.
UACGAAGGGGGCUAGCGUUGCUCGGAAUCACUGGGCGUAAAGCGCACGUAGGCGGAUCUUUAAGUCAGGGGUGAAAUCCUGGAGCUCAACUCCAGAACUGCCUUUGAUACUGGGGAUCUCGAGUCCGGAAGAGGUGAGUGGAACUCCGAGUGUAGAGGUGAAAUUCGUAGAUAUUCGCAAGAACACCAGUGGCGAAGGCGGCUUACUGGUCCGGAUCUGACGCUGAGGCGCGAAAGCGUGGGGAGCAAACAGG